RNAcentral lists this long non-coding RNA (8613 nucleotides) under Zea mays. Its description in RNAcentral is "long non-coding RNA (ZMAY_LNC001724)". Lineage: Eukaryota; Viridiplantae; Streptophyta; Magnoliopsida; Poales; Poaceae. The record is from RNAcentral.
CCGCCAUGGUACUCUGCAUCCCGAGCUCCCGUGCUCGCGCGGCUUCCUGCUCGUCGGUGCUUAGACUGAAGCUCGCCCGGCGCGCCCAUCUCUCUGUCUCCCCAACGCUCGCCAUCGUCUCCUGUCUGGUCGCGCCCUGCUCCGCCGUCGUGUUCUAGCCGCGCGUGCUCUGGUGGCCGUCGUGCUGAUCGCCGGCUGAAACCCCUUUAGUGCCUGACACUGCAUCUCCCUGGUGUUCGCCUCUGUUUUCCCCUGGCGCCGAGCCCCUCCACCCUGUCCUAGCAGCAAAAGCCCAGCCACUGCGCAAGCUACCUGCUCGAUAGAAUGUUCAGCCGCUCGUCAGAUCUGCGCAGUCCCUGCACGAUGUCGCAAAAUCCGCUCGUUGUCGAUGCCGCGCUUCGUGCAUCGUGUGUUCGACGAAAAUCUCCAGCAUGUGGACAGCACACGCGUGAGCCGAGUUUGGUUUGGCCAGUUGUUCGGUUUGCGAUUUACUCUUCCUGCGAUUAUAGUACUCUGAUGGACCCUGUUUUGCUCUCGACCUCUCAGCACGUGGGUUACAGCAUCAGGUACGAUCCAGUGGUAAGAAUUCGUCAUGACGUCGUGUGGCUAGGAGAUGGGAGGUAGGUCAGUCUUCGGGCAGAUCCGAUGGUGUAACAGCAAGGCUCGUACGACACUCGUCUGAUGCUCGACAAGAAGCCUGAUUCGGGGGUGGCUACCCCGUCUUCUUCGUCGUAUGGGAGUCAUCGUGCUUCCGACUAUCUCGUCGAAUUAGUCAGGGUAAGCCAAUUUGUUAAUCAUGUUAGUGGAUUGAUGAAUGGUCUGACUAGGUAUAUUAAUCGUGAUGAUUUUGCAGUGAGUCGGAUUGCUAUUUCUGUUAUUAGUUCGAUGAAGGGAAUUGUUAGAUAUACUAAUUAUAUCGGUCCUAUUGCCUUAGUAUAUAUGUGUCGUGGUGGUAGGUAUAAUAUUUAUUAGGAUGCCCGAGUCGUUUACGGUGAUUUGGUCGAUGUCGUGUAGUGAAAGAUGUCUCAAUAGGUCCCAGUGCUUGCGGGAUUAUAGGUGUUAAAAAUGGGAAGUUUUAUUAAUAUAUAUGAUACACAGGUUAACCGGAAAAUUAGUUUAGAAAGUUAAUGAAAGUUCUUCUAUCAAAUUUUAUAAGUAUUAGGUGUCCAAGAAUGGUAAAGUUAAAGUUAUAAGUCGUUAGUGUGCUCUUUAAACUAGGUAUAAUAUGCUGUCUGUGUUGGUCACUUUCAUAAUUGGAAUGGAUGUUGAUUGCUACCUCGAAUAUUUAGUUAAGGCUGUAAUUCAAGUUAAUUAAGACACACGGUUUAGGGAGUUAAUAAAAAGCUAGAAACAAAAAUGACUCCACAUGCGGAUAUUAAUCAUAAUAUCUUGUGAGAUUAGUUUAAAUCAUAUCUAGUUAGAUUGUAAGAGCAUGAUUGUCGUAAGUAACAAUAUAUCGAUAAUUAGUGUCCGCAAUGCCUUGUCAUUAAGUGGGUUAUUCCUCUUUUGCGUAGCAUCGUAAUAUCUUGUGUUAUUCUUCCUUAUAUGCAUUCAUGUGCAUUAUGCAAAUCAUCUAGGUACGUUUAUUGACUACGUGAUGUGGAGAACCAAAGCGAAGUCGACCACAAGAUGUCGUUGCGCGUGAGCUUCUCCACAAGAUGAUGCUGAUGAACGAACCUGAAGAUGGAUACUCUGAAAGAGUGCCAAGACAAAGGAUGAUCGUCAAGUGGACGCCAUCUAACAAACACUAACCUAGUGUUUAUUCCAGGCAAGCCCCGGUGCAUUCGCCACCUCCUUGUGUUUUAAAAUCUUUAUCACCUUGGUUGAUGCAUUAGGUGAUAGGAGUUGUGUGUUAAACCGUUGAUGCAUUUUCUUCCUUGAAAAUUGAUUACCCUUCCUUGAUACCCGUUUUGAAAAGAAUUUUUUGAUGCUUAGCCUUUCUCUAGAAAAACAAAAUGUUUUGUUUUAAAACAAAAGGUGAUGCUUCAAGUGGGAUGGGAUGUUUUCAAAAAUAAAAACUUGAUGGUGGAUCCAUCAUGGCCAUGAUGGAUUCAACAUCGGAAAAGAUGUACCUCUGCCAGGUACCAAACUUUGGGUUUAAAUUAUAAAGCUGAGACCGGGCGGGUGACUUGCACGAGAAAGGAGUCUCGAUGUAGUGUCUUCGUCUGAGUCGUUUAAGGACCGUACCGAUUGUUGGCCUGCUGAUCUAGGACCCUUUAUCUGGCCACAUACCUCGUCAUGGGUAAGCUUGAACCCGGCUAUUCCAAACAUGAAAAGACAAUCGCGCACUGGGAGUGGAGAGAUGGCGAGAGUGGCACGUACCCUCCUGACAAAGGACCGCCUAAAAGGGGUGGUGUGCUCUCGGGUGGCGCGGACCUGUUCAUGUGGUGGAGGAUCCGUGGGAAUGGUAGACAUGUGCAAAAGAGUUAAGAGAAGCAUAUGUCGUGUGGUUGGAGAUCCCCAGCUGGGUAUUAAUCGAUUCAGAUCGCCGAACUUCUCGGAUAUGAAGACUGGAUCUUCGACCCUCAUCGUAGAUAACAAGCGAAACAAAGGUUGGAUUUUAAAAGAAAGCUAGUGUAGGACAAGUGAAUGCUCUACAUUAGGCAAAUCUAGAUUCAGAAAAAGUACUUAACUUAUGAUGUAAAAUUUUGGCUUAAGGACCCACUUCUAGUAAGCUUUUCUGCAAAUGAGUCUUUGAUUCUUGAUAAGCCAUACCUUGAAUCCCUCUAGCCAGCAUACCCUUGAGAGUCUUUUCUUUAGUCGGGUAAGUCUUGCUGAGUAAUUCCGUACUCAGUGUUUUAUUCCCUGUUGUUUUUCAGGUUCUAACUUUGUGCUAUUGUUGAUGGUGUUAAGUGCCGGUGGGCUCGGCCUUCUUAUAAGUCUAAGUAACUCUUCUAUACUUCUUAUUGAGGAUGUUCACUUGAGCUAGCAUAUAUUUUAAAACUAUAAAUAAUUUAUAAUAGUUUAAAGUUAUUUCUUUGAACCACUUCUGUAACCACUCCGAUAAAUAUAAUGUAAAACUUGAUGUAACUUGUAAAAUUUGGUAAAAAGAUUUCCGCUGCAAAAUGUUGGUGUGUGAUUUGUGUUUACUUAAUCUUGUGAUCCUGGUUGUUCGUGGUUUAUCCGGGGUCCCUGGGACACUCGGACAGAUCCUGUUAAGUUAUCUGGUGCAUAUGCAUAGCCGUCUGAGGUCUUUGAGACAAGGGCAGGUGCAUGUGGGCCCAAUAACUUGGGAGGUUCUGCCACAGCUGGUAUCGGAGCAGGAUUAAGUAUAUACGGUCACAUACGACUUUUCAAAACAAAAGUUUUGGUUUCGAAAAACCUAUUUUCAACUAAACACAUUGUUUGGCUUUGAAAAAUAGUUUUGAAAAACUAUAAUGCUAGCGACAUCCUCUAUUAAGCCCUAAGUUAAGGACUAUCAGGUGGCUUAUUUAAAAACCACUAACCCACAACUGGGGGUAUUGCAUACAUGUGUAUUGUUAUUUUUGAGGCCAUUCAGUUUUGAAUGGAUCGACGCUCAAGGUAAGGUGAGAUGUGAGAGCAUGACCGAACAAACGUCGGUCUAGGGGAGUGCUUAAUUGUGGCGCUUGAUUAUAUACAUGUUCCACAUAUGUAUAUAUGAAGGCUACGAUGUGGAGUAUUUACUUUUCCGAGAAUUCAGUACCCCAUGGAUGUGUAUGGGUAUACAGACAUGAGAAUACUGAGAAGUGUAAUGUACUUGUAACGAUGCACCUACGCUCAGGUAAGAAGGUGAGUUACCAUAAUGAGUUGCCCUAUGGUUAAAGUGUGGCAACGGCGCCUAUGUGUGGCUCGGCGCUUAAUGAAGAGCUGGCCUCCAUAUAGCAAUAUAUGGAGUAUAAAUUGUGAUAAACUGUUAUGUGUGACUUGCAUCAUUGGGAAUUGGGCUGUGAUGGAUUUUUCUGCAGGUACACUAACCUCGAAAACGUAUGUGUAGCUGACGACUAGCAAAAUACUGUGAGAGUCGUAAGUAUGCCACCGAGAUAGAACGCUACUGCCACAGUAUGUUGGCAAAAUCAGUGAGGACGUAUAGGACGAGCAUGCAUCCUAAUUGUUGCAUCAUGUUUGCCACCUAUACACCCAAAAUGCUUCUCUCAUCUUUAUUCUAGUAACCAUUGAUUGUAGAUAAUGUGGUGUAAGGCUGAAUUAUGAACUUCGAUGAAAUAGGUGUCCUCCAUUCUUUAGGUAAUCUAUUAAGGUCUUAUAUGGUGUUUGCUUUUGUGCUUGAUGUGUCGAUAGAAGGUUAGUGACUUGUUUGCCUAAACCCAGAAUUAGGCCAUGUUCUUAUUUAGUGAACCAUGACCCAAAACUUAAAUUUUUCCGUUAUCACUUCAGGACCAAACACAUAAAAAUAAAUGCCUAGAUAAUUUCUUUGUUGGACCUAAAGUGUACCCAGCUUAAAACAAAAAUUUCGAGUCAUGUCUCCAUCCUAAACCAUGUCCUUGUUCGGUUGGUGCAAGCUGAUGUACCUUAUCCAGUUUGCCUGUUUUUAAGGACCGCCAUGUUACUUUAUCAACCUAACCUAGGAAAGACAUGUCGGACCAUUUUCUUGUAUUUGAUGCCUUUGGUUUCCCCAUACCUAUCGAAGGCAUACCAAUUUAAUCCUUGACCUUGUGAUCUCUAUGAUGGGCACAGAAAUAUGCUUGGGGCUGAAUUAACAGUCUCCCAUCGUACUCCCUCCUCAAUUUAUUUUUGGUUAUGGCCGUGCCUUAUUCAUUUCAUCGGGCCAUGAUCUAUUGGCUCUCUACUUGUAGCCAUUUUGACAGGUAGAGUCUCUUUGUACAUUGUCACCCUUGCCCAAUUCAAUUGUGUCGCGUGAGAUUUCUUAUUGGUUAUGUCUGAUAAUGGUGUUAUGACUAAAACCUGUGGUGCCGUGACGAAACCGAGGGCCUUCUGUGUGUGCGCACAUGGUUGCGCUACUCGGCACACGCUAGUAUCACAGUUAGUAGUCAUAAUCCAUUAUGAGAUUAUAUCAAUAUGUUAUCUUUCAUAGACCUCCUCCUUGAAACAAUUUCUAUGUUGUUUGUGAAGUGGUCAAGCAACAUCUGUCAUCUCCGGUGGAUCAAAAGGGCAUACCACUUUCAUGUGUGGUCUUAUUUCUUUUGAUCUUGGUAGUGACUACUCAUGCAAGUUCCCUUUACGUCCUUUGUGUAAAGGUGAAGCCUUGGAGCUUUUUAGUGUCGAGAGACAACUGAUUAGCUCUCAAAAUGGAGAUUGGAUUUUCCCUGCUGUUGAGAUGCAGGAGUUUAUUCAUUCGCUCUCCUAUUUAAUCCAUGUAUUUCCUAACUAAGUGGGUAGUUCAUCUCGCAUGAAGAAACGGAUGAACAACCUGACCAAAUGGAUUUCUACCCAAAUGCAUGACCUUUUGCUUGCAAAUGUGAGCUCUCGACCGUUGGCUUACCGAUGGUACUGAGAGGACUUGCUCAAUGUCAAAAGUAGUUCAACAAGUUGGUUUUACUAACUUGUAACUGCUUUGUGAACAAAGGUUGAGUUUAGAGAUCGUUUUAUCGAUUUGCCUGGGCUCAUCUUGGUUCAACCCAUCUUAAGGAAGUACUUUCAAAAAUCAAGAUUAAGUCGGUCGAUAACCACCUAAUUAUCGCUCUAGUCAUGCCUUGAAUGUCUCUCGUAUGCUUUUCCAGCAUGUGUGAUCAAGUCGAGCCAUGAUCAGUGCUGGAUAAAAUGGACUGGUUGUAAAGUCCGUAUCUAUAGAUCCCUCCGCUGGUGAUUCUCUCGAAUCUAUACCAUCUUUCGUGGACUUGAAUUCUCGGGUUAGCCAUAUGUUAACCGCGACAGUAUUCGACAUCCACCCCUGUCCCCUGUGCUAUGAACUUAUCGUAACCACUUGUUGGUAAACCUCUUUCUUUGUGUUUUACCUAAGAGGUUGCAACUGAUUCUGUUUGGGUAAAGUCGUAUAUCUACCGCUUGCUCAACAGACUCAGAUAGUACAGUGUCAUCAGAAAAAGCAAACUGCACACAUGGAACCUUAUGUGUUCACCUGGCAGAGAUCAUCUCUAUUGUUGGAAAUCUCCAAAUUAGCUUAAGGCGAUACAUGUUAUGUCCACUAGAGAAACAACAUCCUGAGACACUUGCCUUCGCUCAGAACUGCCUUAUAAUAUCGCUGAUAUGUACAUGGGUUACAUGCUUCUCUACUCUUGAAAGUCUUUCGCUCCGAAUCUCGGGACGAGAUUCUUUUAAGGGGGGAGGGCUGUAACACCCCAGGUGUUUAUAUUCUGCUCGACAACGAGUACGGAUUUAAGCACGUGAUAUCAGUAAAUAAGACGGGCACUAAGGUCUAAUUAUUUUUGCCUAUCGCGAUUUUAAUAUCGCAUCUGUUUCGUUUGUCGCGAGUGCGACAUCGUUAUUAUUUUUAUCUGUCCGGGCUCUUCCUGAAUUUUCUUGCUGUUCGGAACAUAUUUGUUCUGAAAAUCGGUGCGUCCGGUGAUUAUUUAAAAUUCGUCGCUCGCGAAUACGAAUUCGGAAGCUCGACUCACUCGGAUGAUUUUUAUCCUGGGCAAAUUAAUUCGAACUCGACGACUAAGGUUUUCGGUGCAAAUAAUUUUGUUCCCACUUGUCAACCGAGACAGCUCAUUCGAGGAUUUAUAAUUGAAAUUUAUUCGUUUAUCUGUCCUAAAUUAAAUCAAGCGCAGUCUAAAUUUGUCGAAGCCGAAAUUAAUUUGAUCCGGUCCGUGCGUUUCUUGUCUCGAUCUAAUUUUCUUCAAAUAGAAAUAAUGGAUACGAAUUAAUCUGACUCCGAAGUAUUCAUCAAAUCCUGUCUAAAUAUUAUUGUCUAUCUUGUUCUGGUUCUACCUUUUAUACAUCUUUUAGAUCUUAAUGUCAGAACCUCAAAAUAUCUAUAUUUUGAUUUUAUUAAAAAAAGAGAAAGAAGAUUUUUUUUCAAAUCAUCUUCUAGGAUCGGCCUUAUCUCAUCUACGGCCAUCCUUACGUAACCUCUCAUCCAUAUCCAGAGCCUGCUCGAUCUCUAUCGCUUCACCUGAUAUUCCCCAUCGUACUUGAUGCAAGCACAGAGCUAUCCCUAAUCCGUUUCCACGUACACUCCUCACGGCUCGUCACCAAGCGUCGCUUCCAUCUCUAGAUUUUCUUUCUGCUGUGCCGUCACCGCUUCCCUCUUCAAAAAUCUCAUCACCCGUCGGCCUUAUCCUGCCGCCGUCUUCAUCUUCCUCGCUGCUGCGCUCGUGCCCACACGGAGCAUCAGUUCUGGCGCAGCAGAAGCAGCCAUCCUCGCCCAGGCUUUGCUCGGCCUCCUCUCCAUCUCUCUGCGUCGGCCUCUCCUGCCUGCUGCUCGGUCCCAAGCUCCCUGUGCGCGCGGUACUCUUCCUUCCCAUGUUACUGCGCGCUCUACCUUUCUUCCCAUCUCCCUGCGCUCGCCGCGGCUCCCUGCUGCACUGCAGCUCGCCGCGCGGCUCUCAUGGCGUGCUCCUCUCUGCCGAGCGGCUCUUCCCCACGAUGCCGUCGAAUCCCGUCUUCCUCUGCUCGCGCGGGCCGCGCCCCUGCUUCCCCUCCCUAGCCGAGCUCGCCGGCCGGCCGCUCGCCCCUGUGCCUUCGCUCAGCUCGCCAUGGAGGUUGUCCGCCAUGGUACUCUGCAUCCCGAGCUCCCGUGCUCGCGCGGCUUCCUGCUCGUCGGUUCUUAGACUGAAGCUCGCCCGGCGCGCCCAUCUCUCUGUCUCCCCAACGCUCGCCAUCGUCUCCUGUCUGGUCGCGCCCUGCUCCGCCGUCGUGUUCUAGCCGCGCGUGCUCUGGUGGCCGUCGUGCUGAUCGCCGGCUGAAACCCCUUUAGUGCCUGACACUGCAUCUCCCUGGUGUUCGCCUCUGUUUUCCCCUGGCGCCGAGCCCCUCCAUCCUGUCCUAGCAGCAAAAGCCCAGCCACUGCGCAAGCUACCUGCUCGAUAGAAUGUUCAGCCGCUCGUCAGAUCUGCGCAGUCCCUGCACGAUGUCGCAAAAUCCGCUCGUUGUCGAUGCCGCGCUUCGUGCAUCGUGUGUUCGACGAAAAUCUCCAGCAUGUGGACAGCACACGCGUGAGCCGAGUUUGGUUUGGCCAGUUGUUCGGUUUGCGAUUUACUCUUCCUGCGAUUAUAGUACUCUGAUGGACCCUGUUUUGCUCUCGACCUCUCAGCACGUGGGUUACAGCAUCAGGUACAAUCCAGUGGUAAGAAUUCGUCAUGACGUUGUGUGGCUAGGAGAUGGGAGGUAGGUCAGUGUUGAGCACCAAAAUGAGGUGCGGACGGUCCGGCCCUGAGGCCGGACGGUCCGCGGUCCGGACGGUCCGCGCCUGUGGGCCGGACGGUCCGCGCACGCGCAGAAUAGAUUAGAGUUCCGAGUUUUGUGCUAUGUUUGUUAGCUAUAUCCGCGGAAUUAGCUCGGAAUCCGGUCGUGUAAAGGGUCCAGCCCCCCUCCUCUAUAAAAAGAGAGGCCUACGGCCGAUUUGUAAUCAUCAACAAUCGAAUAAAUACAACUUUUAUUCGCAUUUUAUCCUAGGAGUAAUUCUAGUCUAGUUUAGGUUUAGCCUCCCAAUCCCCAAAUUCUUCGUCUCUCUUCGGCUCUACGUCGAUUAGAGGAGUCUAGGUCGGCCGGCCCGAG